AAUAGAUACCCGGGUAGUCCACGCCGUAAACGAUGAGUGCUAAGUGUUAGAGGGUUUCCGCCCUUUAGUGCUGCAGCUAACGCAUUAAGCACUCCGCCUGGGGAGUACGGUCGCAAGACUGAAACUCAAAGGAAUUGACGGGGGGCCCGCACAAGCGGUGGAGCAUGUGGUUUAAUUCGAAGCAACGCGAAGAACCUUACCAGGUCUUGACAUCCCACUGACCGGUAUAGAGAUAUACCUUUCCCUUCGGGGACAGUGGUGACAGGUGGUGCAUGGUUGUCGUCAGCUCGUGUCGUGAGAUGUUGGGUUAAGUCCCGCAACGAGCGCAACCCUUGAUCUUAGUUGCCAGCAUUUAGUUGGGCACUCUAAGGUGACUGCCGGUGACAAACCGGAGGAAGGUGGGGAUGACGUCAAAUCAUCAUGCCCCUUAUGACCUGGGCUACACACGUGCUACAAUGGAUGGUACAAAGGGCUGCAAGACUGCGAAGUCAAGCCAAUCCCAUAAAACCAUUCUCAGUUCGGAUUGCAGG
Molecule: ribosomal RNA, 530 nt
Filed under: uncultured bacterium
Lineage: Bacteria
Description: bacterial SSU rRNA
Rfam family: Bacterial small subunit ribosomal RNA
Source: RNAcentral